Molecule: ribosomal RNA, 182 nt
Filed under: bacterium
Lineage: Bacteria
Description: partial 16S rRNA
Rfam family: Bacterial small subunit ribosomal RNA
Source: RNAcentral
GAUGAACGCUAGCGGCAGGCCUAACACAUGCAAGUCGAGGGGUAACAUUGUAGCUUGCUACAGAUGACGACCGGCGCACGGGUGCGCACCGCGUAUGGAACCUACCUUUCACAGGGGAAUAGCCCAUGGAAACGUGGAUUAAUGCCCCAUGGUACAUAUAGGUGGCCUCACCUAUAUGUUAA